RNAcentral lists this ribosomal RNA (115 nucleotides) under Danio rerio (zebrafish). The record is from RNAcentral. Lineage: Eukaryota; Metazoa; Chordata; Actinopteri; Cypriniformes; Danionidae.
UAAAGCAGCUAGCUCUCUGCAACUCUCACAUGGUCGCCCACUGAAGCUAAGCAGGGCUGCGCCUGGUCAGUACCUGGAUGGGAGACCACAUGGGAAAACUAGGUUGCUGCCAGAA